UACGUAGGGUGCAAGCGUUGUCCGGAAUUUAUUGGGCGUAAAGAGCUCGUAGGCGGUUUGUCGCGUCUGCUGUGAAAUCCCGAGGCUCAACCUCGGGCCUGCAGUGGGUACGGGCAGACUAGAGUGCGGUAGGGGAGAUUGGAAUUCCUGGUGUAAGCGGUGGAAUGCGCAGAUAUCAGGAGGAACACCGAUGGCGAAGGCCAGAUCUUUGGGCCGUAAC
Molecule: ribosomal RNA, 220 nt
Filed under: uncultured bacterium
Lineage: Bacteria
Description: partial 16S ribosomal RNA
Rfam family: Bacterial small subunit ribosomal RNA
Source: RNAcentral